This 357-nucleotide long non-coding RNA is filed under the name Capsicum annuum. RNAcentral describes it as "long non-coding RNA (CANN_LNC015945)". The record is from RNAcentral. Lineage: Eukaryota; Viridiplantae; Streptophyta; Magnoliopsida; Solanales; Solanaceae.
UAGCAUGAUAUCGAUGCUUUGCGUUGGCUAUCACGUCAAUAAUAAUGACACAAUUCAUCAUCUAUCGCAUCGACACCAUCGACACGGUGCAUCGCCUGUCGCGUCACUGGGCAUAUUUUUCUCAUUAAAUUCCAAUUUUCUAAGGGAAAUUAGGUCCUUUUCCCCUCACCCAAUUUAGACAAAACAUGAAAUUAAGAUUCCAAAAGGGCAAAAUAUAUUCAUUAUUCUCAAAAUCCUCCCAAGAAAUAAACCCUAGUUCAUCAAGCUCAAGAUCAAGUUCCAAGAAAUCCCCAACAAUCUCCACGAAUUUCGUCACUCAGGUAUGUUAGGUGUUCAUCUUUGGGUUUCCUUCCACCC